AUUUUGGGAACUUUGAAAGUAAGUAACAAUCUUGACAAAAAAUGUAAACAGAAUCAUAGCUCAUGAAUAUGCUAUUUGCAUUCUACUAUAUAUUAGCUGCAUGAUAGGCUAUAAAAUAAGUUAAAAAGAGGCAGUUAUGAGGUGACAGUUGUCACAUUCAAGUCCUUCUUACUUGUAUCCAUUACAAACCAGAUUAACUACCAUACCUGUAAGUUUUCAUCAUCCGCAACUGAUUGUCAGAGUGCUUAGGGAAAACAACAGCUCUCAAAAAUUCAAAUAUGAAGCCUAUUGUAUUUGCAUAACCCGCAGUCUUAGGAUUGCUAUUUGGCGUUUCAAACUAAAUUCUGGCCACCAAGGGCUCCACAUUCCUUCAGCCAGUCUGGGAUA
Molecule: long non-coding RNA, 387 nt
Filed under: Bos taurus (domestic cattle)
Lineage: Eukaryota; Metazoa; Chordata; Mammalia; Artiodactyla; Bovidae
Description: long non-coding RNA NONBTAT002820
Source: RNAcentral